UUUUCCUCAGCCUCUAGGGCUCUGCUCUCCACCAUCACUUCCACCUGCAAUCCUAAUACGUUACCUUUCCCACCACCGUCUCCCCCCUGCCUUCCAUUUCUCUGGCCACUUCCUCCAUCCUUCGCCACUCUCGCCACUGUCCACCCCAAAUUUCAGACACAUUUAGGGCUUGUGAGACACCCAGGAAGGAUAAUGCUUGUGAGACACCCAGAGGGAUCGAGAAUUGCCGAACCAAAUUGCACCCAGCAAAGCAAACAAGCCUAGAUCUCUCCAAGUCAUCAUUUCAGGCCUCGAUACUGUUCACCAUAACCAUUCCAGCCUCCGCUCAAACGGUUUUUAUCUGGGCCUCCGUAGGCAUUUCUGGGCACCUCAGUUCAUCUUGAAGCUGCAGAAACUUCCUGGUUUCUUCCCAGAUUCCCAACAAAAAGGCGAAAGAGCUGCUUGUGUGCUGGAAAAUCCUUACCAGCCGAAGCUUUAAGUCACUAGAAUAAAUUUAGGACAUCUCCAAACAAUUUUGUGCACAUAAGUGAUGAUCUCAGCAACAUCUCCAAAUUACUUUUGCAAAAAGAUUCCGUCCAGAUAAGUCAGCAUAAGUUCUUCAUUUAACAUAUGUAUGGAUUUUUUAGGUGCCUAUUUGCCUCUCACUUUUAGUUCUAUAAUGCAGUGGCUGCUGAAUCUAUUCUUAAGAACAUGACAUUGUGAUGUUUUUCUGGUGCAUAUUUGCCUCAGAUAUGGCAUCUGAAACAACAUCUCAGUCAAAAGGGAAAGGCAAAGGGUAUUUCACUUGGACUCCUGAUAUGGAUCGUGUAAUGGGCACCUGUUUUAUUGACCAAAUGAACCAAGGAAACAAAUUGGAUGGUAAAUGUGCAUGGAAGACAGCAGCCUACACCGCCGUAAUGAAUGCUUUAUUCGAUAAGCUAUAUAUAUGAUAAGUAUCUGGAGUGGUCACCUCAGAAUUGAUAUGCGUCACCUGGGAAUUGAUAUGCGUAGAACAGCUAUGCCGAAUAGGAAAGAUUUUUGGGUGAAACAGAGCGAGCAAGAUCCAUCUCUGAGCUUGCAAUUCAGCAACCUGCAUUAGACAUUCCACAGUUACUAUGGAAGGAAUCCAUCGACUUUGAGAUACCGGUGAAGGACUUGUCCUUGAGCUGCAUGAACCUAUGUGGUGAUCAAUGUUGCUGUUUUUUUUUUUUUGUUUUUUUCAUGCUAUCCAGAUGCUUGUUGAGCUCAUUUCACAUCAUACUAGAGAUUGGUUAAGAAGUGUUAUUUGUCGAGUCUGAUUGGACAUGCAAGUCAGAAAAUGAUACUUGUGUUGGCAUUUAAAUUUUGCUUCCAAAUUUUUAUGCUGGCCUUCGGCAUUUUCAUUCGGUUGUAUUGUUAGGGGAGUGAAAUGGAGACUUGGAACUUGUAGGUGUUAUGACUAACGAACUUGCAAGUUAAUAAAUUAUAGAUGAAUGGGUUAUGGUACA
Molecule: long non-coding RNA, 1466 nt
Organism: Coffea eugenioides
Lineage: Eukaryota; Viridiplantae; Streptophyta; Magnoliopsida; Gentianales; Rubiaceae
Exons: 3
Source: RefSeq, a predicted model, not a curated record